This 433-nucleotide ribosomal RNA is filed under the name uncultured bacterium. RNAcentral describes it as "partial 16S ribosomal RNA". It matches the Rfam family "Bacterial small subunit ribosomal RNA", at positions 29 to 507 of the family's 1533-position model. The record is from RNAcentral.
AACGAACGCUGGCGGCAGGCCUAACACAUGCAAGUCGAGCGAGGACUUCGGUUCUAGCGGCGGACGGGUGAGUAACGCGUGGGAAUGUGCCCUUCUCUUCGGAAUAGCCCUGGGAAACUGGGAGUAAUACCGUAUACGCCCUAUUGGGGAAAGAUUUAUCGGAGAAGGAUCAGCCCGCGUUGGAUUAGGUAGUUGGUGGGGUAAUGGCCUACCAAGCCGACGAUCCAUAGCUGGUUUGAGAGGAUGAUCAGCCACACUGGGACUGAGACACGGCCCAGACUCCUACGGGAGGCAGCAGUGGGGAAUCUUAGACAAUGGGGGCAACCCUGAUCUAGCCAUGCCGCGUGAGUGAUGAAGGCCUUAGGGUUGUAAAGCUCUUUCAGCUGGGAAGAUAAUGACGGUACCAGCAGAAGAAGCCCCGGCUAACUCCGUG